RNAcentral lists this ribosomal RNA (2354 nucleotides) under Escherichia coli. Its description in RNAcentral is "bacterial LSU rRNA". It matches the Rfam family "Bacterial large subunit ribosomal RNA", at positions 591 to 2925 of the family's 2925-position model. The record is from RNAcentral. Lineage: Bacteria; Pseudomonadati; Pseudomonadota; Gammaproteobacteria; Enterobacterales; Enterobacteriaceae.
GUGUGACUGCGUACCUUUUGUAUAAUGGGUCAGCGACUUAUAUUCUGUAGCAAGGUUAACCGAAUAGGGGAGCCGAAGGGAAACCGAGUCUUAACUGGGCGUUAAGUUGCAGGGUAUAGACCCGAAACCCGGUGAUCUAGCCAUGGGCAGGUUGAAGGUUGGGUAACACUAACUGGAGGACCGAACCGACUAAUGUUGAAAAAUUAGCGGAUGACUUGUGGCUGGGGGUGAAAGGCCAAUCAAACCGGGAGAUAGCUGGUUCUCCCCGAAAGCUAUUUAGGUAGCGCCUCGUGAAUUCAUCUCCGGGGGUAGAGCACUGUUUCGGCAAGGGGGUCAUCCCGACUUACCAACCCGAUGCAAACUGCGAAUACCGGAGAAUGUUAUCACGGGAGACACACGGCGGGUGCUAACGUCCGUCGUGAAGAGGGAAACAACCCAGACCGCCAGCUAAGGUCCCAAAGUCAUGGUUAAGUGGGAAACGAUGUGGGAAGGCCCAGACAGCCAGGAUGUUGGCUUAGAAGCAGCCAUCAUUUAAAGAAAGCGUAAUAGCUCACUGGUCGAGUCGGCCUGCGCGGAAGAUGUAACGGGGCUAAACCAUGCACCGAAGCUGCGGCAGCGACGCUUAUGCGUUGUUGGGUAGGGGAGCGUUCUGUAAGCCUGUGAAGGUGUACUGUGAGGUAUGCUGGAGGUAUCAGAAGUGCGAAUGCUGACAUAAGUAACGAUAAAGCGGGUGAAAAGCCCGCUCGCCGGAAGACCAAGGGUUCCUGUCCAACGUUAAUCGGGGCAGGGUGAGUCGACCCCUAAGGCGAGGCCGAAAGGCGUAGUCGAUGGGAAACAGGUUAAUAUUCCUGUACUUGGUGUUACUGCGAAGGGGGGACGGAGAAGGCUAUGUUGGCCGGGCGACGGUUGUCCCGGUUUAAGCGUGUAGGCUGGUUUUCCAGGCAAAUCCGGAAAAUCAAGGCUGAGGCGUGAUGACGAGGCACUACGGUGCUGAAGCAACAAAUGCCCUGCUUCCAGGAAAAGCCUCUAAGCAUCAGGUAACAUCAAAUCGUACCCCAAACCGACACAGGUGGUCAGGUAGAGAAUACCAAGGCGCUUGAGAGAACUCGGGUGAAGGAACUAGGCAAAAUGGUGCCGUAACUUCGGGAGAAGGCACGCUGAUAUGUAGGUGAAGUCCCUCGCGGAUGGAGCUGAAAUCAGUCGAAGAUACCAGCUGGCUGCAACUGUUUAUUAAAAACACAGCACUGUGCAAACACGAAAGUGGACGUAUACGGUGUGACGCCUGCCCGGUGCCGGAAGGUUAAUUGAUGGGGUUAGCGCAAGCGAAGCUCUUGAUCGAAGCCCCGGUAAACGGCGGCCGUAACUAUAACGGUCCUAAGGUAGCGAAAUUCCUUGUCGGGUAAGUUCCGACCUGCACGAAUGGCGUAAUGAUGGCCAGGCUGUCUCCACCCGAGACUCAGUGAAAUUGAACUCGCUGUGAAGAUGCAGUGUACCCGCGGCAAGACGGAAAGACCCCGUGAACCUUUACUAUAGCUUGACACUGAACAUUGAGCCUUGAUGUGUAGGAUAGGUGGGAGGCUUUGAAGUGUGGACGCCAGUCUGCAUGGAGCCGACCUUGAAAUACCACCCUUUAAUGUUUGAUGUUCUAACGUUGACCCGUAAUCCGGGUUGCGGACAGUGUCUGGUGGGUAGUUUGACUGGGGCGGUCUCCUCCUAAAGAGUAACGGAGGAGCACGAAGGUUGGCUAAUCCUGGUCGGACAUCAGGAGGUUAGUGCAAUGGCAUAAGCCAGCUUGACUGCGAGCGUGACGGCGCGAGCAGGUGCGAAAGCAGGUCAUAGUGAUCCGGUGGUUCUGAAUGGAAGGGCCAUCGCUCAACGGAUAAAAGGUACUCCGGGGAUAACAGGCUGAUACCGCCCAAGAGUUCAUAUCGACGGCGGUGUUUGGCACCUCGAUGUCGGCUCAUCACAUCCUGGGGCUGAAGUAGGUCCCAAGGGUAUGGCUGUUCGCCAUUUAAAGUGGUACGCGAGCUGGGUUUAGAACGUCGUGAGACAGUUCGGUCCCUAUCUGCCGUGGGCGCUGGAGAACUGAGGGGGGCUGCUCCUAGUACGAGAGGACCGGAGUGGACGCAUCACUGGUGUUCGGGUUGUCAUGCCAAUGGCACUGCCCGGUAGCUAAAUGCGGAAGAGAUAAGUGCUGAAAGCAUCUAAGCACGAAACUUGCCCCGAGAUGAGUUCUCCCUGACUCCUUGAGAGUCCUGAAGGAACGUUGAAGACGACGACGUUGAUAGGCCGGGUGUGUAAGCGCAGCGAUGCGUUGAGCUAACCGGUACUAAUGAACCGUGAGGCUUAACCUU